CAGCAGUGCAAAAAAUUAGAGCAAUAUGAGAACAAGCAGCAGAGGCUAGCUCCUGGCACCAAGUGUCCUGGGGAGUGUUUGCAGUACAUUGAGUUGCCUUUCUUUGUCCUCAUCCUGGCUUCCAGGUCUCUGAGUGGGCGGAGAGUGUCCUUACCCCAAGUGGCCUUGCUCAAAUCAUUGUCCAGCCUGAACUUUCAGUCAUACUGACAACCAAGUAAAGAGCCACUUGCUUGCUGCCUAAUGAUAUUUGGCUUGGCUGUGUUGUAGCCUCUCUGGAGUCUGGUUCAAACCAACCUGUCUGAAGGUGCAGUGAGUCUGGGAAGAGGCUGGGAAACUGCAGUGUGAAAGGGCUUUCACAGGGAUGAGGAGGGGGGACCCUCACAGAACACAAGAAAAACCAGCUGCUGCUGGCCAGCAUUAUAAGCCACCUCCUCCCUGCAGUCCCACAGUAAUCUGGCCUGCAUCCAGAAAAGGCAGAAGACUCUUCCUGAAGGUGGUAACUGUUGGUCUUGUCUGUGUCAAGCUUAAAGUUGGUAGGAAAAGAUUCUUCUAGCAAAUAAACAUGUAGCGAAAGGGAAGAGCAGUCAGUGGGAAAGGGCCUCUCAUCUCACUGCACAGGAUAAGAAGGGGAUAGGAGGAAGUGGCUGUUUGACUGAGGGGCACCCUGGUAACAUGGAACUAAGGAAACAGUUAUUUUUCUUGGAAAUAAAUGAAGAAAUGGCUCCUUCCAGGCAGAGCGGCAUGGAUCUAUAAUUCCAGUGGCUUGGGAAGUUAAGACAGGAGGAUCACAAGUUCAAG
RNAcentral lists this long non-coding RNA (798 nucleotides) under Marmota monax (woodchuck). Lineage: Eukaryota; Metazoa; Chordata; Mammalia; Rodentia; Sciuridae. The record is from RNAcentral.